UGAAGUUGGAUUCGCUAGUAAUCGCGCAUCAGCCAUGGCGCGGUGAAUACGUUCCCGGGCCUUGUACACACCGCCCGUCAAGCCAUGGGAGCUGGGGGUGCCUGAAGUUCGUGACCGCAAGGAUCGACCUAGGGCAAAACCGGUGACUGGGGCUAAGUCGUAACAAGGUAGC
This 172-nucleotide ribosomal RNA is filed under the name uncultured bacterium. RNAcentral describes it as "partial 16S ribosomal RNA". It matches the Rfam family "Bacterial small subunit ribosomal RNA", at positions 1321 to 1500 of the family's 1533-position model. The record is from RNAcentral.